CCCGCCGGCGACCGGCGCACGGGUGAGUAACACGUAUGCAACCUGGCCGCCACAGGGGGAUAACCCGCGGAACCGCGGCCUAAUACCCCGUGACGCCACCGGAGGGCAUCCUCCGGUGGCCAAAGGAGCGAUCCGGUGGCGGAUGGGCAUGCGGCGCAUUAGCUAGACGGCGGGGUGACGGCCCACCGUGGCGACGAUGCGUAGGGGUUCUGAGAGGAAGGCCCCCCACACUGGGACUGAGACACGGCCCAGACUCCUACGGAAGGCAGCAG
Molecule: ribosomal RNA, 272 nt
Filed under: uncultured bacterium
Lineage: Bacteria
Description: partial 16S ribosomal RNA
Rfam family: Bacterial small subunit ribosomal RNA
Source: RNAcentral